This 593-nucleotide ribosomal RNA is filed under the name uncultured bacterium. RNAcentral describes it as "bacterial SSU rRNA". It matches the Rfam family "Bacterial small subunit ribosomal RNA", at positions 338 to 950 of the family's 1533-position model. The record is from RNAcentral.
CCUACGGGAGGCAGCAGUAGGGAAUUUUCCGCAAUGGGCGAAAGCCUGACGGAGCAAUACCGCGUGAGGGAUGACUGCCUAUGGGUUGUAAACCUCUUUUUUCAGGGAGGAAUAAAUGACGUGUACCUGAAGAAUAAGCAUCGGCUAACUCCGUGCCAGCAGCCGCGGUAAGACGGAGGAUGCAAGUGUUAUCCGGAAUCACUGGGCGUAAAGCGUCUGUAGGUGGCUCGACAAGUCAACUGUUAAAUCUUGAAGCUCAACUUCAAAAUCGCAGUCGAAACUAUCGGACUAGAGUAUAGUAGAGGUAAAGGGAAUUUCCAGUGGAGCGGUGAAAUGCGUAGAGAUUGGAAAGAACACCGAUGGCGAAGGCACUUUACUGGGCUAUUACUGACACUCAGAGACGAAAGCUAGGGUAGCAAAUGGGAUUAGAUACCCCAGUAGUCCUAGCCGUAAACAAUGGAUACUAGGUGUUGAACAGAUCGACCUGUGCAGUACCAAAGCUAACGCGUUAAGUAUCCCGCCUGGGAAGUAUGCACGCAAGUGUGAAACUCAAAGGAUUGAGCGNGAGAGNGCGACGCGACACGAGGGAGAGG